RNAcentral lists this ribosomal RNA (1442 nucleotides) under uncultured organism. RNAcentral's name for it is "SSU rRNA". It matches the Rfam family "Bacterial small subunit ribosomal RNA". The record is from RNAcentral.
GGCGGCGUGCUUAACACAUGCAAGUCGAACGGAAAGGCCCUGCUUUUGUGGGGUGCUCGAGUGGCGAACGGGUGAGUAACACGUGAGUAACCUGCCCUUGACUUUGGGAUAACUUCAGGAAACUGGGGCUAAUACCGGAUAGGAGCUCCUGCUGCAUGGUGGGGGUUGGAAAGUUUCGGCGGUUGGGGAUGGACUCGCGGCUUAUCAGCUUGUUGGUGGGGUAGUGGCUUACCAAGGCUUUGACGGGUAGCCGGCCUGAGAGGGUGACCGGCCACAUUGGGACUGAGAUACGGCCCAGACUCCUACGGGAGGCAGCAGUGGGGAAUAUUGCACAAUGGGCGGAAGCCUGAUGCAGCAACGCCGCGUGCGGGAUGACGGCCUUCGGGUUGUAAACCGCUUUCGCCUGUGACGAAGCGUGAGUGACGGUAAUGGGUAAAGAAGCACCGGCUAACUACGUGCCAGCAGCCGCGGUGAUACGUAGGGUGCGAGCGUUGUCCGGAUUUAUUGGGCGUAAAGGGCUCGUAGGUGGUUGAUCGCGUCGGAAGUGUAAUCUUGGGGCUUAACCCUGAGCGUGCUUUCGAUACGGGUUGACUUGAGGAAGGUAGGGGAGAAUGGAAUUCCUGGUGGAGCGGUGGAAUGCGCAGAUAUCAGGAGGAACACCAGUGGCGAAGGCGGUUCUCUGGGCCUUUCCUGACGCUGAGGAGCGAAAGCGUGGGGAGCGAACAGGCUUAGAUACCCUGGUAGUCCACGCUGUAAACGGUGGGUACUAGGUGUGGGGUCCAUUCCACGGGUUCCGUGCCGUAGCUAACGCUUUAAGUACCCCGCCUGGGGAGUACGGCCGCAAGGCUAAAACUCAAAGGAAUUGACGGGGCCCCGCACAAGCGGCGGAGCAUGCGGAUUAAUUCGAUGCAACGCGUAGAACCUUACCUGGGUUUGACAUGGAUCGGGAGCGCUCAGAGAUGGGUGUGCCUCUUUUGGGGUCGGUUCACAGGUGGUGCAUGGCUGUCGUCAGCUCGUGUCGUGAGAUGUUGGGUUAAGUCCCGCAACGAGCGCAACCCUUGUUCACUGUUGCCAGCACGUUAUGGUGGGGACUCAGUGGAGACCGCCGGGGUCAACUCGGAGGAAGGUGGGGAUGACGUCAAGUCAUCAUGCCCCUUAUGUCCAGGGCUUCACGCAUGCUACAAUGGCUGGUACAGAGAGUGGCGAGCCUGUGAGGGUGAGCGAAUCUCGGAAAGCCGGUCUCAGUUCGGAUUGGGGUCUGCAACUCGACCUCAUGAAGUCGGAGUCGCUAGUAAUCGCAGAUCAGCAACGCUGCGGUGAAUACGUUCCCGGGGCUUGUACACACCGCCCGUCAAGUCAUGAAAGUUGGUAACACCCGAAGCCGGUGGCCUAACCGUUGUGGGGGAGCCGUCGAAGGUGGGACUGGUGAUUAGGACUAAGUA